UACGGGGGGAGCAAGCGUUGUUCGGAUUUACUGGGCGUAAAGGGCGCGUAGGCGGUCAGCACAAGUCAGUUGUGAAAUCUCCGGGCUUAACUCGGAAAGGUCAACUGAUACUGUGCGACUAGAGUGCAGAAGGGGCAACUGGAAUUCUCGGUGUAGCGGUGAAAUGCGUAGAUAUCGAGAGGAACACCUGCGGCGAAGGCGAGUCCCUGGACAAUACCUGACACUGAGGCACGAAAGCUAGGGGAGCAAACAGG
Molecule: ribosomal RNA, 254 nt
Filed under: uncultured bacterium
Lineage: Bacteria
Description: partial 16S ribosomal RNA
Rfam family: Bacterial small subunit ribosomal RNA
Source: RNAcentral